CAGUAAUGAAGCAAGGUUCUCUCCUGGUGUUGACACAUCAGAUUUUAAAAUGAAUUUGAGACUGCCAUGUCAAUAAAUGAAAAAACUGAGAACCCAAUCAAAAUAUUUUGUCUCUCCACAUCACUUUUGUCUUUUGCACCGAAGGGUUCUGCGCUCUCUCUCUCUCUCUUCCUCUUUCGAUUUGAUCGAUAUCUCUCUUCCUCUUUCGCUUUUAAAUUGAACGGGGAUGUGGAACAAGACAACAAGACAAAGGCUGAAGAAGUUCAGACCCAAUCAAGGAUCUUCACGACUCUCUUCUCCGGCGAGGUGACCGAAGGGUUCUGAUUUUUGGGGGAAUCGAAAUACUAUAAUGGGUUUGACGAAUUUCAUACUGACAGUGACCGGAGUAGGCGCCGUGGUAGUGCUAUUGAAGGGCGACGUCAAGCAAUCUGCCACCGUAUUGAGGCGUAACGUCAAGCAUAUCCGCAACUGGCUCGAAGAAGAAACUUCCGCCACCUCCAAGGAAGAUUCCAAAAGACAAGAAUUAGUGUCUUGUGCUUUUCUGUAUACAUAAACAGAGUUUAUUUUUUUGGAUUUAUGACUUUGGUGUGCGUAAGAGGAGUGUGUUGAGGCCGGCAAAAGUUCCAUCUUUUCAAGUCUCUUCUCCGCUAACAACCCUUUCCGGCGAAAGACGCCUAUGCCCGAAACCAACAAACCUAAUAUUGUUUGAAUGCUUGGUGUUGACGAACCUAAUAUUGUUUGAAGUCUCUCGAAAUAUUGUACCUGAAGAGAGUCUGGUGGAGGUUGUACCAGAGAGUCACAAGAAGUUCUUGGCCAACAUGGUUUGGGUUCAGGAAGAGAUGAAGUAGCCGUCACAUACUUCGUCAAACUGUCCAACAACGCAUUCAUCACCAACCUCAAUUUGAGAGAGCAGCAUUUUAUAACCACGUUUGCAGAUUGCAAAGAGAGGAAGCGAAGAUAGCAGUUUGGAACAAAAUGCACAAGGUUUGGGACACUUGUGAGGAUGAAAGUAGAACCUGCUAUUAGAAAACUUGGGGUCCUCCUUCACUUAUAUGAAAACUCCCGUAAACCAAUCAAACCAUGAUAAUUCUACUGAAUUGUUUUUUUGCUUGAAUCACAUGUGAAGCUGGAGAAGAAGAAAUGACCAUUACUGGAUAAGAUCUUGUACAAGCUUCAAACAACCAAGUCGAGAGGUCAGGUGGAGUUCAGUAUUCAGUGAUCAUCAACGAGAACAAAAGUUUUGACUAUAGAUGCCUGCAAUAAAACAGUAGCACAAACCGUAAUCUUCUUUCCAUGCUUGUGUAUAUAAUUUUAAAAUGUUUAUCUAUAUAUACCAAUAUAUAUCGUUGUUAUGAUCUGUUUCACGCUGUUGAAAAAACUUUCGAAUCAGCUGUUCUUGCCGCAAAGAAUCAAAACCACCAAAGGUCUUCAGGGUAAGGAUGUGCAAGGUUUGGGAGCUUCACAGGUGAAAGCAUCAACGGAGAGAAAGCUUUUUAUAUUUCUCCUGUAUCUUUUAUCACAAUGCUUAAAACUGUAUAGCAGAUUCUGUUUUCUUCCAUCUCCAUAGCUACAGCCCAAAAAGUUGAGAAAUGAGAUUCAUGACUUAGUGAUUGGUGUCACGGAAGUUAUUGUUAACAAACACAAAGAAGAAUUACUAUUUUUAAAACAAUAUAAAAUGUAAAAGUAAAACCAAAGUUAGGAGUGCAUUGUUUUACCAAAUAUGCAUGACUUCAAAUAUAUAUACAUAUUCAUCAUUUUUUUUGUUAUAGUUUAUUAUUUCAUUGCUAACAAAAUAAAUUUUAUAAGCUUAGUAACAUUUUCUAGAAUU
This is a long non-coding RNA of Raphanus sativus (radish), 1828 nucleotides long. RefSeq lists it as uncharacterized. The transcript has 4 exons. Lineage: Eukaryota; Viridiplantae; Streptophyta; Magnoliopsida; Brassicales; Brassicaceae. The record is from RefSeq and is a predicted model, not a curated record.